AAUCUUCCGCAAUGGGCGAAAGCCUGACGGAGCAACGCCGCGUGAGUGAUGAAGGUCUUCGGAUCGUAAAACUCUGUUAUUAGGGAAGAACAAAUGUGUAAGUAACUAUGCACGUCUUGACGGUACCUAAUCAGAAAGCCACGGCUAACUACGUGCCAGCAGCCGCGGUAAUACGUAGGUGGCAAGCGUUAUCCGGAAUUAUUGGGCGUAAAGCGCGCGUAGGCGGUUUUUUAAGUCUGAUGUGAAAGCCCACGGCUCAACCGUGGAGGGUCAUUGGAAACUGGAAAACUUGAGUGCAGAAGAGGAAAGUGGAAUUCCAUGUGUAGCGGUGAAAUGCGCAGAGAUAUGGAGGAACACCAGUGGCGAAGGCGACUUUCUGGUCUGUAACUGACGCUGAUGUGCGAAAGCGUGGGGAUCAAACAGGAUUAGAUACCCUGGUAGUCCACGCCGUA
RNAcentral lists this ribosomal RNA (452 nucleotides) under Thalassiosira minuscula. RNAcentral's name for it is "partial Bacterial small subunit ribosomal RNA". It matches the Rfam family "Bacterial small subunit ribosomal RNA", at positions 360 to 804 of the family's 1533-position model. Lineage: Eukaryota; Bacillariophyta; Thalassiosirophyceae; Thalassiosirales; Thalassiosiraceae. The record is from RNAcentral.